CCUACGGGAGGCAGCAGUGAGGAAUAUUGGUCAAUGGCCGGAAGGCUGAACCAGCCAUGCCGCGUGAAGGUCAGUGCCCUAUGGGCGUUAAACUUCUUUUGUGCGGGAGCAAUAAUGGUCACGUGUGGCCAGACGAGAGUACCGUACGAAUAAGCAUCGGCUCACUCCGUGCCAGCAGCCGCGGUAAUACGGGGGAUGCAAGCGUUUUCCGGAUUUAUUGGGUUUAAAGGGUGCGUAGGCUGGGAGGUAAGUCAGCGGUGAAAUGCCGCCGCUCAACGGGGUGAAGUGCCAUUGAUACUGGCGUGCUGGAGUGCGGAAGCAGUGGGAGGAAUGUGUGGUGUAGCGGUGAAAUGCAUAGAUAUCACACAGAACACCGAUUGCGAAGGCAUCUCACGAAUCCGCGAUUGACGCUGAGGCACGAAAGCGUGGGUAUCAAACAGGAUUAGAUACCCGUGUAGUC
RNAcentral lists this ribosomal RNA (460 nucleotides) under uncultured bacterium. Its description in RNAcentral is "partial 16S ribosomal RNA". It matches the Rfam family "Bacterial small subunit ribosomal RNA", at positions 338 to 795 of the family's 1533-position model. The record is from RNAcentral.